Cavia porcellus (domestic guinea pig) is the source of this 561-nucleotide long non-coding RNA. RefSeq lists it as uncharacterized. The record is from RefSeq and is a predicted model, not a curated record. The transcript is spliced from 2 exons. NCBI's taxonomy places the organism in Eukaryota, Metazoa, Chordata, Mammalia, Rodentia, Caviidae.
GUUUUUGUUGUUUUGAGACAGAGUCUGGCAAAGUCACUAGAUUGUCCAAAUUGGGCUCAAAUCUGUGAUCCUCCUGCCUCACCUCCUGGAGUGUUAGGACUACAGGAGAGAGUUGGAUACCUGAGUGUUUCAUGCAGCCCCUACUGACUGCUGGCUCAGUUUCCGAGGGCCUCAGACUUGGUACACCAUGAUUCUUAGGACACUGCCUCUUGUCUACAGCUCAGUCAAGGUUUCCUGGGUUGUGAAUGCAACCAGGGGACCAGUGAGCAGCAGCAAGGAGGACCCAGCAUGCCACCCCAGUGACUCUUGGGUGAUUAAAAAAGGAAUAGUAAUCACUGGGUGUGAUGGUGCAUGUUUGUGAUCUCAGCACUUGAGGCUGAGGUCAGCCUAGGUACACAGUGAGACACUGUCUCAAGAAAAAAAUAUCAGGUGGGGAGUGGGGUUUAGCUCCGCAGCACAGUGUCUGCUCGGCAAGUGUGAGGUCAUGAGUUCAAUUCCCGGUACAGAACACCAACAACAAAAAUCCAAAAAGUAAAAAUAAAUAAGAAAGAAACAGUGUAA